This 274-nucleotide ribosomal RNA is filed under the name uncultured bacterium. RNAcentral's name for it is "partial 16S ribosomal RNA". It matches the Rfam family "Bacterial small subunit ribosomal RNA", at positions 523 to 796 of the family's 1533-position model. The record is from RNAcentral.
AUACGGAGGGUGCAAGCGUUACUCGGAAUCACUGGGCGUAAAGGAUGCGUAGGCGGAUAAUCAAGUCAAAAGUGAAAUCCCACGGCUUAACCGUGGAACUGCUUUCGAAACUGGUUAUCUAGAAUAUGGAAGAGGCAGAUGGAAUUAGUGGUGUAGGGGUAAAAUCCGUAGAGAUCACUAGGAAUACCGAUUGCGAAGGCGAUCUGCUGGGGCAUUAUUGACGCUGAGGCAUGAAAGCGUGGGGAGCAAACAGGAUUAGAAACCCGAGUAGUCC